GACGAACGCUGGCGGCGCGCCUAACACAUGCAAGUCGAACGGAGCUGAGAGAAGCUUGCUUUUCUUAGCUUAGUGGCGAACGGGUGAGUAACGCGUGAGUAACCUGCCCUGGAGUGGGGGACAACAGUUGGAAACGACUGCUAAUACCGCAUAAGCCCACGAUCCGGCAUCGGAUUGAGGGAAAAGGAUUUAUUCGCUUCAGGAUGGACUCGCGUCCAAUUAGCUAGUUGGUGAGGUAACGGCCCACCAAGGCGACGAUUGGUAGCCGGACUGGGAGGUUGAACGGCCACAUUGGGACUGAGACACGGCCCAGACUCCUACGGGAGGCAGCAGUGGGGGAUAUUGCACAAUGGGGGAAACCCUGAUGCAGCGACGCCGCGUGGAGGAAGAAGGUUUUCGGAUUGUAAACUCCUGUCGUGAGGGACGAUAAUGACGGUACCUAACAAGAAAGCACCGGCUAACUACGUG
RNAcentral lists this ribosomal RNA (468 nucleotides) under uncultured bacterium. RNAcentral describes it as "partial 16S ribosomal RNA". It matches the Rfam family "Bacterial small subunit ribosomal RNA", at positions 28 to 507 of the family's 1533-position model. The record is from RNAcentral.